GCGGACGGUCGAGUAACGCGUAGGAAUCUCCCUCAAAGUUGGACAUAGCUAGCCGAAAGGUUGGGUAAUUUCCAAUGUGAUCGCAAGAUUAAAGAUUUAUCGCUUUGAGAUGAGCCUGCGUAGGAUUAGCUAGUUGGUGGGGUAAAGGCCUACCAAGGCUACGAUCCUUAGCUGGUCUGAGAGGACGACCAGCCGGAAUGGGACUGAGACACGGCCCAUACAUCUACGGAUGGCAGCAACCGGGAAUCUUGGACAAUGGACGAAAGUCUGAUCCAGCGACGCCGCGUGGAGGAUUGAAGGCCCUCGGGUUGUAAACUCCUUUUAGUGGGGAAGAUUAUGACGGUACCCACAGAAUAAGCACCUGCUAACUACGUGCCAGAAGCCUCGGUAAG
Molecule: ribosomal RNA, 392 nt
Filed under: uncultured bacterium
Lineage: Bacteria
Description: bacterial SSU rRNA
Rfam family: Bacterial small subunit ribosomal RNA
Source: RNAcentral